CUGCAACAAACCUGGGAGUACAGAUACCUCUUUUGAUCUACUUAUUUCCUUUCUUUUGGGUAAGUACCAGCAGUAUAAUUGCUGGAUUGUUUGGUAGCUCUAUUUUUAGUUUCUUGAGGACCCUCCAAACUGUUUUUUAGAGUGCUUGUGCUAAUCACAUUCCUACCAACAGUGUACAAGUGUUCCCUUUUCUCCACAUUCUCAUCAAUAUUUGUUAUUGUCUGUCUUUUGGAUUGGAGCCAUUUUAGCUGCGGACACAGAAAUGCUUCCCUCCAUGACACUGCUGCUGCUGAGGGAUGGAGGAGGGAUGGCAUCAGCAAUUCAAGAUCAUUUUCCUACCUCUUCAGUGUCUCUUUCAGCGAUAAAAAGUUAAAAGCAGUUGACCCUUGAACAACUUGGAUUUAUACUGCACAAGUCCACUUAUAUGCAUAUUUUCUACCACCUUUGCCACCCC
Molecule: long non-coding RNA, 454 nt
Filed under: Callithrix jacchus (white-tufted-ear marmoset)
Lineage: Eukaryota; Metazoa; Chordata; Mammalia; Primates; Cebidae
Description: lncRNA (ENSCJAG00000080754.1)
Source: RNAcentral